This 64-nucleotide transfer RNA is filed under the name Panchlora nivea. Its description in RNAcentral is "tRNA-Arg". Lineage: Eukaryota; Metazoa; Arthropoda; Insecta; Blattodea; Blaberidae. The record is from RNAcentral.
AAGUGGGAAGCAUCUAAUGUAAUUAGUUUCGACCUAAUAGAAGGUAUUAAAUUACCCCUACUUA